UAUAUAUUUUCAAGUAUUUAAAUGAACUUAAAAGUAUCAUAUAUAUUAUGGAUGUUUUUAUAUAUAUUAAAUUUAAAAUUAAUUAAUAUAUAUAAGUAUAUAAACCUAUUUUAGAUACCCAAAAUACUUCGGUUCGGAUCGGAUUAUGUUUCAGUUUUUCAAAUACAAAAAUUUUGAAUAAUUUGAAUAUUUAAUCAAUUUUGGUUCGGAGUUAAACUACUUAUUCGGAUUGGGAUCAGUCGGUUCUUCGAAUUCAAGUUUUUUUUCCAACCCUAAAUAGUGACAUAAAAAACAAAUAGUAUCAUAUUUUUUUAAAAUACAUCCACGCGGACCAAAAUCUAGUAUUCAUUAAAGCUGAUAAUGAUGAUCACUUGUAGAAAUAUCAUACACUCUUUGCUCUAUUUAUGUAUCAGUGGUUUUUAGUUAGUGAGCUAUUAUACGUGCCUCGUUUCACCUCCUGCCAAUACGCACU
This 472-nucleotide long non-coding RNA is filed under the name Brassica napus (rape). RNAcentral describes it as "long non-coding RNA (BNAP_LNC026136)". Lineage: Eukaryota; Viridiplantae; Streptophyta; Magnoliopsida; Brassicales; Brassicaceae. The record is from RNAcentral.